Long non-coding RNA from Salvelinus sp. IW2-2015, 2128 nucleotides. RefSeq lists it as uncharacterized. Lineage: Eukaryota; Metazoa; Chordata; Actinopteri; Salmoniformes; Salmonidae. The record is from RefSeq and is a predicted model, not a curated record.
UUCUCUCUCUUUCUCUCUCUCUCAGGCUGCAUGUCCAAGACGACAACUUUUCACUGAAAUGUCCGAAACACGAGGCUUUGUAAAAUAGAGCACUACCCAGCCCCAGUGAGCAUCACCUAUGCAGUACGACAGACAGACAGAUAGGACAUCCCCCCACCCAAACCUGAUGAUGAUGAGUCAUGAUGAGACGUUAUGACGGACAGACGCAUCGGCCAAUGGGGAUGGCUGGGGAUCCUCUGAGGCACCACCGAUGGCAGCAAUACAGACACUAGACAGCAGAUCCCUCAGAGCAACCCCCGUAACCCCUGGCAACGGCACUGCUUUAUCUCAGCCACCCCUGAUAACCAGACAGAGAGAGAGACUGCAUUGUCUGUCUGAUAGACAGUCUCCUUCACGGACAGACGGACUGCGGUGUUUUGAGAGAGUCUUUCACAGCCCUGUCUGUCUGUGUCUGGAGUCUAGACACCUGGCAGCCAUGGUUACUUAGAGACCACCCCUCCAGAGAGAGUGGGGGAGAGAGAAGGGGCGAGACAGGGAGCUGUUUUAAAUUCACGCUGCACUGUUCUGCCUCUGGAACGGUCGCUAUCAUUUUUAGACACCUGGUGGAUUGCGAUUGGCCAGAAUAGGCCCCCUCCGGCUAUGCUGUCCGAGUUCCAGGUCGCGGUGUGUGUGUGACAUCAACUGUGUGUGUGUGCUUGUACAAGGAAGGGAACGAGCGUGUUCCAAUUCAAGAUGUCAUGCGUCAAAAGAAGCCGCCCCUCCCCUGGAUGUAUCUCGAUGUGCGCUUAAGUGUUAUAAAAAUUGUACAUUGCGUGCUUUAACAGAUUCUAAAUAUGAUUCUGAUAUUGACAGAAAGAAAAAAUGACGGUAUUUUAAUAUAACGCUCUUCUUCCGGUAUGUAUUUUGAUGUGCAUAUUACGGCUAUACGACACCAUUGAGUCAGCGUUGGUAUCUGUCCCGCUUUGUGUUCAAUUAAACAUUUUUAUAAAAAUCUAGGUUUCAAUAUUCACACUAGCGUACUACUUAGAAUGCAUGCCUUAUACAUUGCUUCAUUCUAAGUGGGCAGUGUGCUAAUUUGGAUAUUGGGGGGAGUCAAAACUCUGGGGGUCACCGAGUCGAAGUUCAGCCGUGUGCUCAUACAACAUGAUGUACAGUAGACGCCACAUCAUCACCAUAAAGGUUAAAGGUCAGGGCUUAGGGCCCGGCCCGCAUCAUCUCACACGUCAUGUCAUCUCAUCUCACCACAGUUCUUCAUCAAUAUCUCUGUCCAUCAUCUCCAUCACCAAAGGCUGCUGGCUCCAUAAAAAUGAACAAGGAUUCGACUCCAAUAGAUUCUUAGUCCUAUACGACUUGAGUUCUCAGUACCAUAGAGCUGAAUCAACCGUACAGAGACUCAAAUAUGUCAUAAUAUGGACACCGUACAGUAACACAGUCCUCCCCAUUAAAUGGGGAACCGUGACUGUUGUACGGUGUCCAUAUUCGGAAUGUUUCAGUUUUCUGACGCCACAUCAAGUGUGUCUCUCUCAUUCCUUUUUCUGUAUGUGGCACUCAGAGUAGCGUAGCCUGUUCCCCUUACUGCAGCAUUCUCACACACACAGACAGCCUCUUUAGGGUGUAGUGUACAGUACUUCRGUACUACUUUAGGGUGUAGUGUACAGUACUUCAGUACUACUUUAGGAUAUAGUGUACAGUACUUUAGUACUUCAUAUCAGUGGACACAUACAGUAUUAGGGCGUACAGUACAGACAAGAGCAAAGCAUCCCACCACAAACCUCUUCUUCUGAUUCUUGAUUAUGAUGCUCUCAUUAUUUAAUGGUGUAUAUAAGUAUUUGACGCGGUUUAAAUGUAAGAUGUGAUGUACUAAUAUAAUUGUGUAUAGUAUUUCCUAGAGAUGUUUAUUUUCUAUAAAAUGAAUAUGUUAUUGCUUAUAAAAAUGUUAUUAAAAGAAUCCAUUAAAAAAAAAGAGACUUUUGGGAAUGUCACUCGUUCUAAGUUGAGCAUGCAGUUUUUUUUAUUGUUCAUGUUUUCAUUGUUUGAAUCGAUGACACUACAGCAUCAAUUUGUGUGAAAUGUUUUUGUAACGCCAAUGUCAAAUAUACCAGCACCUUUCAAUGCUGCCCAGACCAAG